UUGGACAUCUGGAAUACAGCAGUAGGAAGCAUAAUCACAGCACUUGUGCACCUGCAGAUGAGGAAUUGCCUGGCUGUUUACAAUGCUGAUUAUCACAUGACAAUCAGAGUAGCCUCAGUAAGGGUUGGAGCUUACAAUUGUCUGAAGUUGGUCUUAUCUAGGCUCAUCAGAACUGUUGGAAACUGAAGACUGGCAGUAUUGUCGCAGAAUGCGUAUCCAAGGUCAUUAAGAACAACAGUUUUCUUUCAUUAUGAGAUUCCAAAAUGAAACAAAUAAAAACUCUAAAAUUGC
This is a non-coding RNA of Coturnix japonica (Japanese quail), 291 nucleotides long. The record is from RefSeq and is a predicted model, not a curated record. Lineage: Eukaryota; Metazoa; Chordata; Aves; Galliformes; Phasianidae.